Non-coding RNA from Vicia faba (fava bean), 243 nucleotides. Lineage: Eukaryota; Viridiplantae; Streptophyta; Magnoliopsida; Fabales; Fabaceae. The record is from the annotation of a GenBank genome assembly.
AUGGCUAACAUUGACAACAAGAUCGAAACUCCGAUCAUGGUCAUUGAAUUGGCAAUAAAUCCAGCUGCUCCGGCAUCAGGACCUGGUGCCGGAGCCAAUGAAGGACUAAGAUCUUGGGCCGAGGCCACGGUGGUGGCCAAGAUGACGACCACAAACAAGAAGGAGAAGAGCUUCAAUGUAGUAGCUGAUGAUGCCAUUGAGGAAGUAAAAAUAGAGAAAGUUGAAAAUGAAAAGAAUAGAUAA